AGAGUUUGAUCCUGGCUCAGAUUGAACGCUGGCGGCAUGCUUUACACAUGCAAGUCGAACGGCAGCACGGGUGCUUGCACCUGGUGGCGAGUGGCGAACGGGUGAGUAAUGCACCGGAACGUACCCAGUAAUGGGGGAUAACACAUCGAAAGAUGUGCUAAUACCGCAUACGCCCUGAGGGGGAAAGCGGGGGAUCGUAAGACCUCGCGUUAUUGGAGCGGCCGAUGCCGGAUUAGCUAGUUGGUGAGGUUAAAGAGUCUCACCAAGGCGAGGGGCGAUCUUUUUUCUUGUUAGGGGCGGCACAGCCACACUGGGACUGAGACACGGCCCAGACUCCUACGGGAGGCAGCAGUGGGGAAUUUUGGACAAUGGGCGCAAGCCUGAUCCAGCCAUGCCGCGUGAGUGAAGAAGGCCUUCGGGUUGUAAAGCUCUUUCGCAAGGAAAGAAAACUUAUCU
Molecule: ribosomal RNA, 456 nt
Filed under: uncultured bacterium
Lineage: Bacteria
Description: bacterial SSU rRNA
Rfam family: Bacterial small subunit ribosomal RNA
Source: RNAcentral